AAUACCGUGCCCUCAUACAAGAGCAUCCCAAACUUGUCCCGGAGGAAGUCAAUUCAAGCUUAUCAACAAUGAAGAUCUCAUUUGUGCUUGUUUUAAUAUUUGGUUUGAUCAUGAUCUUCUCCAACACUAGUGUGGAAGGUGAAUACAUCGAGAAUCCCUUGAGUUUCUCUCUUCACAGAGAUAAGGGAAAGGAGAACAUGAUUCAUGAUGAUAAAUCUGUCUUCGGUUCCAGUAUUGGUGGAAAGAGCAAUGAAGAAACCACGAUGGACAUCAACAAUCAUGGAGAGUUGAAAGGAAAAAAUAUCAGAAAUCCAUCACUUGCCACCAAUAAAGCCAAAAGUAAAAACAAUGGCAAGGACAACUACAACAAGUGUGAUGGUGAUCCUAUUGCACAAACCCAAGGCGUGUCCAUGGACACACACCACCAGGUAUCGAUCGAUGACUACCGAAGGAUGUAUAGUAAUAUUCAUAAGCACCCUUAAAGCCCUGCAGCCUGGCUCUGUUGACUCUUACUAGUAGUGUAUGUGUGUGGCAAAUUUGCUCAGUAUAUAGAGCAAAUUUGCUCAGUAUGUUGUGUCAUGGAUGACUGAGGCCUCUUGGACAAUGUACUAAACUACUAAGUAAAAUAAAAUGUCCAUGGCUAGCUUGGCUUGCUA
This is a long non-coding RNA of Musa acuminata AAA Group (dessert banana), 656 nucleotides long. RefSeq lists it as uncharacterized. The transcript has 2 exons. NCBI's taxonomy places the organism in Eukaryota, Viridiplantae, Streptophyta, Magnoliopsida, Zingiberales, Musaceae. The record is from RefSeq and is a predicted model, not a curated record.